RNAcentral lists this ribosomal RNA (443 nucleotides) under uncultured bacterium. RNAcentral's name for it is "partial 16S ribosomal RNA". It matches the Rfam family "Bacterial small subunit ribosomal RNA", at positions 338 to 795 of the family's 1533-position model. The record is from RNAcentral.
CCUACGGGGGACAUCAGUGGGGAAUAUUGGUCAAUGGGCGCACGCCUGACCCAGCAACGCCGCGUGAAGGAAGAAGGCUUUCGGGUUGUAAACUUUUUUUCUCAGGGACGAAGAAAGUGACGGUACCUGAGGAAUAAGCCACGGCUAACUACGGGCCAGCAGCCGCGGUAAUACGUAGGUGGCAAGCGUUAUCCGGAUUUACUGGGUGUAAAGGGCGUGUAGGCGGGACGGCAAGUCAGAUGUGAAAACCACGGGCUCAACCUGGGGCCUGUAUUGGAAAAUGGAGUUCUUGAGUACUGGGGAGGCAGACGGAAUUCCUAGUGUAGCGGUGAAAUGCGUAGAUAUUAGGAGGAACACCAGUGGCGAAGGCGGUCUGCUGGACAGCAACUGACGCUGAGGCGCGAAAGCGUGGGGAGCAAACAGGAUUAGAUACCCGUGUAGUC